UUUUCUGUUGUUUUUAGAUUCAAGUGACGAAAACUUAUGAAAUGAUAUUUUAAGUUUAAACUGAUCAAUUAAUUUAAUUAAUUGAUUUAUUGUAGCAACAAUGGUAAAUUGUUUAAAUAGAGAAAGAAAUUUACAACGAAAAAUGUAUGAAUGUAAUAUUUGAAAUCUAAAAUGAUAAAUUAUUGUGCGAAAAUAAUAAAACUCGCAAUGUCAGCACAUGGUCUCAUUAGAACGUGUUUAACGAGCGUAGCGUAAGCGUGAAAAUGAAAACGUUGAGGCUCUCGUGGUGUAAAAAGGCUAAAUUCCUCAUAAAAAUACAAGAAAUGAGAGGGAACGUUCGCCCUUGAACACAUAAAACCAAAAAAAAAAAAAAAAAAAAAAAAAAAAUAGAAAAGGAAAAAAACCACAAAUUUUAGUGAAGCUAUUUUACUGAAACUUAUAUCAUUUUAACAGCUAUAUAUAAAACGUUGAAUUAUUUCCUUUCGCGCAGAGCAAUUUUACUUCAAAUUUCUAGCUUCAGAAUGAUAAUUACGUAUUUGUAAUUAUCAACAAGCUUUAAAAAUAUGGAAUAUUCAGCCAGAUGAAAUAUAGGUAAAGUAUUUAGAAGAAAAAAGAUUGAAAUGUUUUAUGUAAAACGAUUAAAUUAAGUGGUUGAGUUUGAAAAUUUGACUCGGUUUAAUAAUUCAAUGGAAAAAAUAUUCGCCCUAUGAAAAAAAAUUCAUGUUCCUGUCGAUAUAUCGGCGAGGUGCUCCUCUACUUUCGACUGCUCUGCAAUUCAAAUGCAAUACUCGAAUAUACAUGGCGAAAGAAAUGGAAAUUGAGGAAUUUAAGGGAACCAAUUACUCUCGCGUCGACGUAACUUCAAAAUGUUUCACGUGUCGGUGUUUGCGAAAUGAAGUUCGUCGUUAUCCGAUUAACACGCUUGCAGAUGCGUUCUUUUUGUUGCAAAGUAAAUGGACAAAUUGUGAACAAAUAAUGUUUACAAUUACAUCAAAAUUAAUGUCCUAAACUUUACCAAGAAUUAUUAAAAAUCCCUGCGUAUUGCUUACGUAAUGUUGAUAUUGAGUAGUACCAUACAUAACCUCAACAUUAUGAUACUUACAAACAUCGCUAAACAAGUAGUGCGAACGAUGUCGACAUUUCGCUUGGCGUUGGUACAACUUGAAGUAAAUGAAGUAAAACGCAAAAAUGUAGAGCGGGCAGUUUCCUACAUUUCUAGCGCAAAAGAGCGCAAUGCUGAUAUUAUAGCUCUUCCUGAAUGCUUUAAUUCACCAUAUGGAAUACAGUACUUUCGAAAAUACGCCGAGAGUAUUCCUGAUGGUGAAACGAGCGUUGCUUUAUCGAAUGCAGCUAAAGAAAACAACAUCUAUGUAGUUGGUGGUACGAUGCCUGAAAUAGAGGGCGAUAAAUUGUACAAUACCUGUACUAUUUGGGGUCCCGAUGGAACUUUGAUAGCAAAACACCGAAAGGUACAUCUAUUCGACAUCGACAUUCCUAAUAAGAUUACUUUUCGAGAGAGUGAUUCACUCAGUCCUGGUAACUCCCUAACGACGUUCGAUGUGAAGGGCUGCAAAAUAGGUAUUGGCAUAUGCUAUGAUAUUAGAUUCGAGGAAAUGGCACGCAUUUAUCGGAACAAAGGUUGCCAAAUGCUGAUAUAUCCAGCGGCAUUCAAUAUGACCACUGGACCACUGCACUGGUCAUUACUUCAGCGUUCCAGAGCGAAUGAUAAUCAAUUAUACGUUGCUUGCAUAUCACCGGCUCGUGUUCCUUCAGCAAGUUACGUCGCAUGGGGGCAUACACAGUUGACCAAUCCCUGGGGAGAGAUUCUUUACGAUUUGGAAACUCAAGAGAAUAUGGCAGUCACCGAUAUCGCAUCUGAAAAACAAGACAUCUUCGAGACAGCGUGGGUUUUCUUUCCAACUUUCUUAACUUUCAACAAUAAAAUUUUCGUCAAACGAUACAAUCUAUCCAACAAAGUUCUUGUAGACAGCCAAUCUCGUAAGAACAUAGAUCUUCUUCAAGUAUUAUUCUUCACAAUGCUUCGUGUGGAAUUUCUACUUGACGAGUUAUUAUUAAACGAUUAAAAGCUUAUUAUUAUACGAUAAUGUAAUAUCGUAGAAUAGCUUUGAUUGGAGAUCGGCUGAAAUUAGAAAACACCGUGUACGCCGUCUUUUUGUGGUUUGUUUACAUCCAAGAGCGCCUAGUAACAGUGACGCGAGAAAAGAUAAGCAGCGUCAAAACAGAAGUACGGUUUCAUAUUUCAAGGAGUGGCAAUCGAGAGGCCAGAGUAUGUGAGCCGAAAAGUGUGUGUGUGUGUGUGUGAGUGUGUGUGUGUGUGUGUGUGUGUGUGUGUGUGUGUGUGUGUGUGUGUGUGUGUGUGUGUGUGUGUGCGUGUGUGUGCGUGCAGGACCGAGCAGGAAUGCAUUGGCGAGGUUCAGAAGUUGAUCGAGACGUCGAAGCAUAGAGUCGUUAGAAUUGAGUUGCGAGUGUUGUCGAGUGUUAGAGUUGCUAGUGAGAGAGAGAGAGAGAGAGAGAGAGAGUUACCAAAUAGUUGUCAAGUUAUUUGAUGUAAAUACGAGCGUUGCAUUUAGUUUUCCUGUUAAUCAAACAUCGUUUCUCUGUCUGUAUUUUCUGUCUGUAAUAUCUGUAUUUUCAAUCCAUUAUUAAUAAAUUAUAAUUAAUCGGACAAAAUUACACCUUUAAUAUAUUCCGAUAUUACAAUAACUUACUUUUUUCUACGUCAAUGGACACGAAAGACGUUGAGUGAGGAAUUAGAACAAGUGUGGAUCGUUGGAAACCACUAUGCUGCGGUCUACCAUUCGUUUUACCCUAUAUAUACCACGGAACAAAGGAUAAUUUUCACCGGCUUGGCUAUGGCUACUGGUGUGGAUCCAAGUAUUCGGGCCAUACUAGACGCUAUGCAGAAGCAGAACGAAAUCAAGUUAAGAAAACUGUUAAAGGAGACUAUUAAAGCAGCGACUAGUCGGAGUUAUCAGGGUAGUUUAGUUUCUAAUAAU
Bombus huntii is the source of this 3017-nucleotide RNA transcript. It is a transcript of the gene named omega-amidase NIT2-like, with no coding region annotated. Lineage: Eukaryota; Metazoa; Arthropoda; Insecta; Hymenoptera; Apidae. The transcript has 7 exons. The record is from RefSeq and is a predicted model, not a curated record.